GUGAGGAAUAUUGCGCAAUGGAGGCAACUCUGACGCAGCCAUGCCGCGUGCAGGAAGAAGGCGCUACGCGUUGUAAACUGCUUUUAACCGGGAAGAAACCCCAGGACGUGUCCUGGGUUGACGGUACCGGAGGAAUAAGCACCGGCUAACUUCGUGCCAGCAGCCGCGGUAAUACGAAGGGUGCAAGCGUUAUCCGGAUUCAUUGGGUUUAAAGGGUGCGUAGGCGGAGCGUUAAGUCAGUGGUGAAAUCCUGCAGCUUAACUGUAGACUUGCCAUUGAUACUGGCGCUCUUGAGUGCGCUUGAAGUAGGCGGAAUGUGCCGUGUAGCGGUGAAAUGCUUAGAUAUGGCACAGAACACCAAUUGCGAAGGCAGCUCACUAAGGCGAUACUGACGCUGAGGCACGAAAGCGUGGGGAUCGAACAGGAUUAGAUACCCCAGUAGUCC
This 445-nucleotide ribosomal RNA is filed under the name uncultured bacterium. RNAcentral describes it as "partial 16S ribosomal RNA". It matches the Rfam family "Bacterial small subunit ribosomal RNA", at positions 354 to 796 of the family's 1533-position model. The record is from RNAcentral.